RNAcentral lists this ribosomal RNA (484 nucleotides) under uncultured bacterium. RNAcentral describes it as "partial 16S ribosomal RNA". It matches the Rfam family "Bacterial small subunit ribosomal RNA", at positions 28 to 507 of the family's 1533-position model. The record is from RNAcentral.
AUUGAACGCUGGCGGCAUGCUUUACACAUGCAAGUCGAACGGCAGCGCGGGCUUCGGCCUGGCGGCGAGUGGCGAACGGGUGAGUAAUGCAUCGGCACGUGCCCAGUAGUGGGGGAUAGCCCGGCGAAAGCCGGUUUAAUACCGCAUACGCCCUGAGGGUGAAAGCGGGGGACCGAAAGGCCUCGCGCUAUUAGAGCGGCCGAUGUCGGAUUAGCUAGUUGGUGGGGUAAAGGCUUACCAAGGCGACGAUCCGUAGCUGGUCUGAGAGGACGACCAGCCACACUGGGACUGAGACACGGCCCAGACUCCUACGGGAGGCAGCAGUGGGGAAUUUUGGACAAUGGGGGCAACCCUGAUCCAGCCAUGCCGCGUGCGGGAAGAAGGCCUUCGGGUUGUAAACCGCUUUUGUUCGGGAAGAAAUCCUCUGGGCUAAUACCCCGGGGGGAUGACGGUACCGGAAGAAUAAGCACCGGCUAACUACGUG